UCCAUCUCUUUUAAGGUAAUAGUUGGUGGG
Molecule: non-coding RNA, 30 nt
Filed under: Rattus norvegicus (Norway rat)
Lineage: Eukaryota; Metazoa; Chordata; Mammalia; Rodentia; Muridae
Source: RNAcentral